RNAcentral lists this small RNA (547 nucleotides) under Pongo abelii (Sumatran orangutan). RNAcentral's name for it is "retained intron". The record is from RNAcentral. Lineage: Eukaryota; Metazoa; Chordata; Mammalia; Primates; Hominidae.
AUAAAAGGCCUUUUAACUUUGUUAAGCUUUGUUUUCUUAUCUGUAAAAUGGAAAAGGGCCUGCUCUGCAUGGUUGCAGAGAUGAGUGAGUGUUAGUGUGCUUGACACUCUUCCUCUGAGGAAAUAGCACCCGUGGUUGCCAGUUUGUGGCUACUGGAGCCUCACAUGGCAUUUGGAGGUGUGGCUCACUACCCCACCCCCGCCUGGGGCUCCAGGCUAACCCAGGCAAAACUGUAGGUGCUCUCUGACCCUCAGUGUGCUCCCUCUCGGCCCACAGCCCCCGGUCCCUGAGAAGCGGCCCCCUGAAGUACAGCAUUUCCGCAUGAGUGAUGAUGUCCACUCACUGGGAAAGGUGACCUCAGAUAUGGCCAAAAGGAGGAAGCUGAACUCAGGAGGUGGCCUGUCGGAGGAGUUAGGUUCUGCCCGGCGUUCAGGAGAAGUGACCCUGACGAAAGGGGACCCCGGGUCCCUGGAAGAGUGGGAGACGGUGGUGGGUGAUGACUUCAGUCUCUACUAUGAUUCCUACUCUGUGGAUGAGCGCGUGGACU